Chelonia mydas (Green sea turtle) is the source of this 2979-nucleotide long non-coding RNA. RefSeq lists it as uncharacterized. The transcript has 3 exons. The record is from RefSeq and is a predicted model, not a curated record. Lineage: Eukaryota; Metazoa; Chordata; Testudines; Cheloniidae.
AGCCCUAAAGUAGCCAUUUUGUACUUGAUUGUUGCUUUCAUCUCUCUUGUAGCUGCCAAUGUUCUUAACUCCUGUUAUGCUACCACCUGGUUUUUAAUUUUCAUAUUGCUGAGGCGAUGGCACAUUCUUACUAAUCCAAAAUGGUGCCAAUUCAAGGAGCUCACACAACAGAAGGAGUGGUUCAUGAAGCAACCCAAAAGUCUUGUAUAAAGACACUCCUUUUCUUCCAGAGAUGGUUGGGAAGAAUAAUCCACAUUAUGAUUGUGACCUAUUGACUGAAGUAAUAGCUAGUUUGUCUGAAAAUAUAAAAACUCCAUUGCACUCUAAUGAAGACAGUCAGAUGUCUCCCAGACCAUGGCAGUGAAAUCUGUCAGGUCCUAGCACUGAACUUUCCAGGACCCAAUUGUAGGAUUUUCUAAAUAAUGAGCUUCCAUCUGGGGAGCCCGCUUGCACCGAUGGUCAGCUGGAACCUUAAUUUGGGGAUCUUCAGGCUUACAGGUGAAGGUAUUCAAUUCAAUCCCGUUCAUCACGGCAGCCUGCAAGUGUACAUCUAAGUGAGUGGCAGAGAUUUCUACAAGUUGUUGACUUUGAAUUGAAAGUGAUGUGAAAGUCCAAAUGCUAUGACAAUGUAACCAGUUUGUUACCUCAUACUCCUUAGAGAUGGACAGCUCAGUGCUGCUGGUGUGUUUUGCUCUGAAGCUCAAUAACUUUAAUUUUAUUUCCACACUAAAUGACUCAGGCAAAUUAUAUAUUUUGCAUCCAAUCCACAUGUUUGAUUACUGGUAGGAAUUUAGAUUCUGUCAAGCUUUCAUCAGGCACUGGCUAUUCGAUCCAAAUUAUUUAGCAGCUUUAAAAAACACCUUUUAUGUUCCAAAGAAUUAAUCAAAAUGAACACUGCCAAAGUGUGAUCAGGUGUUCACCUCUCAUCAGCCCUGAAGGAGCUAAGAUGGUGCAGUUAGGGCCAAUUAGCCUUAUAGGCUGUACCUGGGGGACAGUCUGGUUUGACUGAAAAUGCCUAAUGGCUGUUAAAGGCUAACUGGGGAAGAAACUGGCUAAGGUAUAAAGCCAGGAAGUUUGCUGCAGAAAGGGGCUGCAGUGUAGAAGCUGGUAGCCUAUCUCUGGGCUUAGAGAGGGAAAAGGAGGAAACCCGGAAGGAGGGAAGAGAAGCCCAGGAAUCCUGUUCCAAGAGAAUGGUUUACCCAGAAGCAUGGAGGAGAGAGCCUGUGGGAGGCGGAGGAGGGAGCAAUGAGGUUAAAGAUUGUGCUGCUGAUUGUAGGGUCUCUAGGCUGUAACCUGGAAUCGUGGGUGGGCCUGGAUUCUCCUACCAGGCACUGGGGAAGAGGUACAAGAUUGUGGGAGAUGCUAACUGGACAUUUGGUUGACAGGGAUUUUGAUACCCCAGGAGCAGUAUACUAUGUCUGACUUGGAAAGCUGAGUCACAAAGAGAGCACCCUGAGUCCUAGACAGUGAGAGGUGCUGCAGGGUGAACAAGCAUCUGAAAGAGGCACUAGACUAGACAAGAGCUGAUCCCCAGACCCAGUCACAAUGGGGUGUCCCCAGUACUGUGUGUACUGCGUUAGAAAAUGACAACAGAAUGAAGAGGUUCCCUACCUGGAAUGGGAAUUCUGUGAAAAAUCUACAUGCAGUAGGCUUAUAAGUUUUAACAAAACUAUUUUCCAAAAAUUGCUCCUUUCUCCCCUCCAGAGAAAUCCAGACUCUCUUGCUUCUCUGGAGGGGCAUAAAAAAGGAGAUGUCAUUUCCACAUGAGAUUAAUUAUGGAUAAAAGUGAGAUUCUAAGUUUUCUUUCUUUAGAAUCCUGUUCUAUUCCCCAAAUGGGACCUACACUAUUGAAGUCUAUGGGAGAUUUUUUGUUUGUUUCACUGAGAGCAGGAUUGGGAUCAUAUUGUGCAGGCAUUCUUGCAAUAAAAUCAAAUAUGUUCGAUUAGAGUCAAGGAUCUGCCAUUUCCAUUGCUUUGCUGAUUAUCCCAAUCUUGUUGCUCCAUUACUGCUUGUCAGCUUCAUUGUGACUACUCAACCUACUUACAGUAUUGAGCCCUGAAGUACAGGGUGGUGCUGUAACUAUCAAGGAAUACCAAAAAGUGGUUGGAAAUUUACAUGAGUUGCCCUGAGUCUGAAAUGCUGUUGACCAUAAAGAAACCAAAGAAACAACCAGAAUCUAAACAAAUUUGAACUGGGUUUUCUCUUGGAAAGUGAUGUAAGGUGAAGCCAAAGAUUGUACUUAUGCCUUUAAUCAAUGUCAGGUAAUUGACAGUGAUGGUUAUCCAGUCAUCCUGAAGCUUAUCCUCAUUAAGAUUGGCAGCUUCAUCUUUAGACACUGAGGUGUUUCCCUGCACACUGUCAAGAUAAUAUUUCUUGUAGACAACAUAUGCCAUUGUUAACCUAGUUUUUUAUUGGGCAGGUAUCAGGGAUAAAGGAAAAGUAACAAAUACAUUUAUUUCCUGCUUUGCUAAUAAGCUAUUUUCUUAUGUUUAAACUAAUCUGAUUUACAUUUUCCAAAUCAAACUCAUGCAACAAUACAUUUAAACAAAAUAAUAAUAAACUGAAUGAUGAUAAAGCAAGAAAAAAAGUUGUCAGGAGAGUCUGACACAUUAUUAAACAUUAAAAACAUAAAUGCCAGUACACUACAGAAAAACAUAGUCAAGCAAAAACUUCAUCCUCAGAAAUGACUAGAUCAAACUGUCUUAAAGUACUUGCUCAGUUUUAAAUAGCCAACAGUUAAUUCUCUUUGGAUUGUUUCUCAUAUUAGAGUUUUAUGAUGUCAUUCAUAUUAUCCUGUCUUUGUCAGAUUAUAGAGACAUCAGAAAGUUGUCAAGAUUUUUUGAAAGGCUGCUAGGCAUAACUUAUUUGGUAGAUUUUUGUAUUUUGAAUAUAAAAGUGUUGUUUGGGUUUUUAAUGAAGCUGGAAAUAGACAUUUUCACAUGAACACCAUGGCACUCAAAUAAAUUAGUCUUUUGUGCU